This 387-nucleotide RNase P RNA is filed under the name Prevotella melaninogenica. RNAcentral's name for it is "RNase P RNA component class A". It matches the Rfam family "Bacterial RNase P class A". Rfam says of the family: Ribonuclease P (RNase P) is a ubiquitous endoribonuclease, found in archaea, bacteria and eukarya as well as chloroplasts and mitochondria. Its best characterised activity is the generation of mature 5'-ends of tRNAs by cleaving the 5'-leader elements of precursor-tRNAs. The record is from RNAcentral. Lineage: Bacteria; Pseudomonadati; Bacteroidota; Bacteroidia; Bacteroidales; Prevotellaceae.
GCAGUGUUCCGGCUCUGUCGCUGGCAUCUGUAAUGGAUGCGAGAGGAAAGUCCGGGCAGCAUAGGGCAUCCUGCUUCCGAAAAUAGAAGCUAUUGGUGACAGUAGAUGUAGGUAGAAGAAAAUAACCGCCAUGCAGUAAUGUGUGGUAAGGGUGAGAAGGUGGUGUAAGAGACUACCAGCAGGCGGGUGAUCGUCUGGCUGUGCCGUUCAGGAGCUGCAAGUUCAUGUAAACCGUUGUUUGAGGGUAGCCCGCCCAAGCGUAAGCACAACGGAGGGUAGAAUGCUUUAGUUGCAAGGUGACUUGUAAUAUAGAUAAAUGACAGGCAUCUUCCUAUUAUCGAAAGAUGAGGAAGAAACAGAAACCCGGCUUAUAGGAACACUGUUUUA